Long non-coding RNA from Grus americana (Whooping crane), 2454 nucleotides. RefSeq lists it as uncharacterized. The transcript has 3 exons. The record is from RefSeq and is a predicted model, not a curated record. NCBI's taxonomy places the organism in Eukaryota, Metazoa, Chordata, Aves, Gruiformes, Gruidae.
CAGGAGGGACCAGGCAGCCCAGGUCCUGUUCCAGUGAGCUUUUCUCGUGAAGGUGUAACACAUCACUGCUGGAAGAAAUUUGCCCGGAACUACUAAUCACAGAAUUCCUGUGCUGCUGAACAGCAAGUUUCCAGAGGAAUUUUGCAAGAUGACACGUAGCCGCAUAAGGCAAUUUUAGUGAAUAUGAGCUGGACCCAAAAAACGUUUUGACAUCAAGCACAUGGUAUUCCCAAAGACAGGCUGAAGCUUUGCCUUGGCCAGAAAUGGAACCCAUCCUUCCAGGACCCCAGCCCUGGAGCAGCACCCCUCUUACCCCCCAGCUGCACAUCCGGGAUGGCAGGAGCAACAGAACAGAAGGACAGCAAGGGCAGGCUGGAGCCCGCCACCCGCCCCCUCAGCAGGACCAUAGGGGCCACCACGGCGGUGAUGAUUAGGGUGGCUACAUCCACCCGCCCAGCUGCAGGAGGCUCCAGCAAGCCCUGAGGGGUCUCAGAUGAACCAUUGGCAACUGCUUGGGCUACAGUCAUCCCCUGCGCGCCCACAAGGAGCGUGGGCACUCUCCAGGGGUCCUGGAUCUGUGCUGCCACUGCUUUUCGUGUGUUAUGGCUAGCCAGGUGAAACGACAUCUUCAUUUGUCCUGCAAAACUCUCCACACUCUAAGUCUUUUUCCAUCCCAAAAAGGUCGACUGACCGGCAAGUCGACUUUUCCCCCUUCCUAGUCUUUGCACAUAGUUACCAUGAUCCUGUAGAUACAAUGACCAUGCUACUGUGUACCAGGCAGCAAACAAAAAUAAUAAAUAAGCUGAAGGGAAAAUGCUGACAUGGAAACCUCUUUGUAAACUGGAAAGAGCGAGUGGAAUACAAAUGAGCAAAAAAGCUUUCAACUGUUAAAGUGUAGUCUUAUGAAAACAAUACCGCCUGCAAAAUACGGUGACUUAUCUGCUUCAAACAAAAUAGAUGAAGUGUAAAUGUCACUAUGAUAAAAUGUCUCUAUCAUGUAGCAGACGGGGAACAGUCACUAUUCUUGGCUAAUGUCUGCCUACCUUUGUAAGUACGUACUUUGUCCCAGUUGCUGCAUGGUAUCUUGAGCUGAUGUGUCACUGAAGACUCUGUAACUGAUUUAUAGUCUAAUAAUUCUGAUUUCAUUUAAUGGAUUUGCCAUUUACCUUUGAAUGGCUGGAUUUAAAUCCUUUUUAUUGUGAUCAUUUAUCAGCAUAGUCUUUGAUUCUGCUUUACUAUCUGUCAUUCAAAUCAACACUGAAAUUUGGCUUCAAGAAAGCAGGGGCGAUCUUUAUUUACGCUGAGACACAAACGUUACCUGACCUAGGCAGCCAGGCAAGGGACUGCAGUGAACUGAAAGGUCUCCCUUCGGAUUUCAAUGGUUUUUACAACAGGACAGUAGCCACAGAAAGGAAAAAUCAAUUGUGACAAAAGGCUGAAGAGAUCCUGGUCAGACAAAGACCACCAUUCUUAAAUCUCUCAGGUAAAAAGAGUUUCUCUGAAAUAUCUUUUCCCCAGCUGUUUUUUCCCCCCACCUGACUUAACUGUUCUGCACUCUUCCCAUUCCCCAGUUCCAAUCUUGUUUGUUCCCGGGACCUGUCAUCAGUUUAAGCUGAAACAAUACUUUAUGGCGGGCACUUGGCUCUGAACAUCUCCACCUCUUGCAGUUGGGAAGAGAGGGCAAGAGCAGAGGGCUUUUUGGAAGCUGUUGUGGCUGAAGAUAGGGGGUGGAGAGCUCCAAAGAACCGAAAGCAACUAGGCACAGUAAGUGAAAAGGUGGACUUGAAACAUUUGUCAGUCCCUAGUAACUAUCUCAACAUAUUUUGGAGGUAACUAGCAGUUGCUCUGGAUUACCAAGGUUUCAGUAGCACUUGAAGGAUCAUCUUAGCAGCUGCCAAAGCUGCCCGUGCUGGGUGCAGGCACUGCCCUUCUGGGUUUUUUGGUUUGGUUUUUCAAAAAGUUGGCUUCUGAAGUUACAUGUGCUCUUCCUUUUUUUUCUCAAAUGCAUUUGACCAAACAAGUGUCAGCAGGCCAUAAUCCAAUUCUUUGGAAGACAGAUAGCAAAGAGCCAGCUGCAUUAGCUUUAGCCAGCUGGGAAAGUCUCCAACAGUGGGGUUAACCUCCCCGUGCUUUGCUCUUCCCUCCUCACAUGAACUUCAGUGUAUUUUAAAAGGGCUACAGUGUUGUAUUUAUGUAUAUGUAUGUGUAGGUGUGUAUAUUCAUUUUUAUACACAGGGUUUUUAAAAAAAACUUUCAAUAUAUAUGUACAGAUAUAACCUAAAAGGUUACAGAAUAAUCGUGGUUAUUGCGAAUACAUGUUAGAAAUGAUCCACUGGUUGUGCAUAACCACAAUACGAAAGCCACACAUGCAAGAGGCUCCCUUACCUACCACCGUUAAUGAAAUUGCUAUUUAUAGAAAACAUGGUUGUUUAUGUGCUCAUGAUAGAGACUGAA